AUUGAACGCUGGCGGCAUGCUUUACACAUGCAAGUCGAACGGCAGCACGGACUUCGGUCUGGUGGCGAGUGGCGAACGGGUGAGUAAUGUAUCGGAACGUGCCCAGUCGUGGGGGAUAACGUAGUGAAAAUUACGCUAAUACCGCAUACGAUCUAUGGAUGAAAGCGGGGGAUCGCAAGACCUCGCGCGAUUGGAGCGGCCGAUAUCAGAUUAGGUAGUUGGUGGGGUAAAGGCCCACCAAGCAACGAUCUGUAGCUGGUCUGAGAGGACGACCAGCCACACUGGAACUGAGACACGGUCCAGACUCCUACGGGAGGCAGCAGUGGGGAAUUUUGGACAAAGGGCGAAAGCCUGAUCCAGCCAUUCCGCGUGCAGGAUGAAGGCCCUCGGGUUGUAAACUGCUUUUGUACAGAACGAAAAGGUUUCUACUAAUACUAGGAGCUCAUGACGGUACUGUAAGAAUAAGCACCGGCUAACUACGUGCCAGCAGCCGCAGUAA
Molecule: ribosomal RNA, 499 nt
Filed under: uncultured bacterium
Lineage: Bacteria
Description: partial 16S ribosomal RNA
Rfam family: Bacterial small subunit ribosomal RNA
Source: RNAcentral